This 374-nucleotide ribosomal RNA is filed under the name uncultured organism. RNAcentral's name for it is "partial 16S ribosomal RNA". It matches the Rfam family "Bacterial small subunit ribosomal RNA", at positions 526 to 896 of the family's 1533-position model. The record is from RNAcentral.
GGAGGGGUGCGAGCGUUAAUCGGAAUUACUGGGCGUAAAGCGCGCGUAGGGCGGCAAGGUCAGUCGGGAUGUGAAAGCCCCGGGCUCAACCUGGGAAUUGCAUUCGAAACUGCCCUCGCUAGAGUAUGGGAGAGGGAAGCGGAAUUUCCGGUGUAGCGGUGAAAUGCGUAGAUAUCGGAAGGAACACCAGUGGCGAAGGCGACUUCCUGGCCCAAUACUGACGCUCAGGUGCGAAAGCGUGGGUAGCGAACAGGAUUAGAUACCCUGGUAGUCCACGCCGUAAACGAUGAGAACUAGAUGUCGGGAGGAUUUACCUUUCGGUGUCGCAGCUAACGCAUUAAGUUCUCCGCCUGGGGAGUACGCCGGCAACGGUA